RNAcentral lists this ribosomal RNA (497 nucleotides) under uncultured bacterium. RNAcentral describes it as "partial 16S ribosomal RNA". It matches the Rfam family "Bacterial small subunit ribosomal RNA", at positions 28 to 507 of the family's 1533-position model. The record is from RNAcentral.
GAUGAACGCUGGCGGCGUGCCUAAUACAUGCAAGUCGAGCGAACGGACGAGAAGCUUGCUUCUCUGACGUUAGCGGCGGACGGGUGAGUAACACGUGGAUAACCUACCUAUAAGACUGGGAUAACUUCGGGAAACCGUAGCUAAUACCGGAUAAUAUUUUGAACCGCAUGGUUCAAAAGUGAAAGACGGUUUUGCUGUCACUUAUAGAUGGAUCCGCGCCGCAUUAGCUAGUUGGUAAGGUAACGGCUUACCAAGGCAACGAUGCGUAGCCGACCUGAGAGGGUGAUCGGCCACACUGGAACUGAGACACGGUCCAGACUCCUACGGGAGGCAGCAGUAGGGAAUCUUCCGCAAUGGGCGAAAGCCUGACGGAGCAACGCCGCGUGAGUGAUGAAGGUCUUCGGAUCGUAAAACUCUGUUAUUAGGGAAGAACAUAUGUGUAAGUAACUAUGCACAUCUUGACGGUACCUAAUCAGAAAGCCACGGCUAACUACGUG